AGGCCCUGUGGGGACAGGUGAGGUGUAAUGGAGGCCUGAACUCAGGGUGUGAUGAUAACAUUGCAGUUGUUCCCUCUUCUACCCUAAAGGAGGGGCAAGGAUGGGAUCCCAAGACACACUUCAGGCGGGGGAAGGCAUUUAGAAGACCAGAGAUGGGUCCAAGAAUUCUUAAACUCCAAGUUGCCCUGAAGUAGUCCUUUGCUAGCAAGGCCUUUCUGAGCACUCCCGUGGCUCCUCCCAGAGCAGGCUCACACCAACUCACUGCUUUCAGACCACAAGCAAGAGUCCACCCCAGCAGAGCCUGAAGAACCCCUGGGAAGCAGUUUUAUGGACAAUGAGGGUCAAGUGAAAUGCUCUCGGUGCCCAGCUUCACAUGCAGUGAAAGUCCACGCCAAUCCUCAGAAGUUUAGAUCAAGAGUAAAACGCUAAGGUUAGACUGGGCCUAAUUCACUGAUGUGGGACCCACCUGGUUUCAGGAUCUAAUAUUUUUCCUUGGUCAUCUGUUGGGUGGAUGAGCUUGGAGUUUGGAUUCAACAGUGGCCUCGCUCAUAAAAAAGAAAUGUCAGCACCUCUUUGGAAUAGGGGGAGGGAAACAUCUGGAGGUCGAGAGAAGCAGACUCACUGAAGCAGAUGAAGUCUAUGGCACCUGCUAGCCUCCUAGGAGAGCAGAGGACACUCCCUCCACCGGAGCAAAGAGGAAUUCACGCACAGGGUGCCCCUCCCCCGCUCUUGCUGAAGACCUCUAGGAGCCAGAGUGGACUGUGGAGGGCUCAAGGGGACCUUGGAUCAGCUGGAUAGCCCACAGUAUCAUGGCAGCAGAUUAUAUUGGUGCCAUUUUGCUAAUUGGACCUGGUGCUAGGGAGGUAGCCAGAAUCCUAGCUGUCACAGUGUUUGCAGCACUGUCCCAGCAGUCAUCCGCAUCUACAUCAAGGAACAGCACCUUGGAAUUUGGUUUAGAGAAGAAUAAGAGGAAGUUGGUCAUUCUACAAGGCCCACAGCUUGCGCCCGGGAAGUCCAACACUGCAGGGUUAUCUCCUGCAGCAUCCACGGCCUCCGAAAAAGCUUCUCUGCUCUUAAUCCACUUCAUUACUUUGGCUGUUGUAGGAAGGCUCCUGAUGAGCUACUGAAGAAACAGAUCUGAGGCGCCAGAUAGCAUGCAAUCUAAUACAAGUUAUUAUAAUUGUUGUGUGUGUGUGUCUGUAUAUAUAUAUAUACACAUGCAUGUCCUUAGCACUUAGUUAUACAAGAUGACCCAUGGCUGUCAGCCAGCUGUUUCUCCCACACCCUAGGGUUCCAUCAAUAGGUGGAAGUAGCCUUGACAGUCAUAAUGUAGCCUACACUCGCA
Long non-coding RNA from Mus musculus (house mouse), 1345 nucleotides. RefSeq annotates it as predicted gene, 39053. NCBI's taxonomy places the organism in Eukaryota, Metazoa, Chordata, Mammalia, Rodentia, Muridae. The record is from RefSeq and is a predicted model, not a curated record. The transcript has 3 exons.